UCUAAACUCAAAAGAAAAAGGAAAAUAAAAAUCAACACCAACAUCAUCAACAUCACGCAUCAUUCUUCACCAUCAUCACUAAUCACCAUGUUCAUCAUCAUAGAAGCUUCUUGCAAGUUGCAAAUUCACUACUUAGCUUCUUCUACGUGUAAAUCUCUAAAUCAAACACCAUCAUCAAGCUCUCUCCACCAUAUGAUGCACCACCCAAAUCACCCAAUCAAAAUUGAUUUUCAGUCUGAAUAAUCACUGAAAUUCAUCUAUAAAUAGUGCAAGGAUUCAACUCAAUUCAAUUCACAAAUCAAUUGCAAACCUAUCCUCAAAUUUCAGCAAGUUUCAAUUCAAGAAAAAUCAAAUUAAAAACUCCCUGCUUCUACAACCACCACCGGCGGCCACCUGAAGGCGGCCUCGCGCCGGCGUCCAGCCACCUCGCCGCCCUCGCUCCGCCUCCUGCUCCUCCCUCCUGCUCGCCGUCCUCCCUCCACCACCGUUCGCCCUCCUCCUCUCCCCUUCCUCUCGCGACUCCCUCCUCUCUCCUUCCUCUUCGCUGCGCCCCCUGCAGCGUCACCACCGCCGGAACCCGCGACCACCCUCCUCGCCGCCUGAAUCACCGGCGCUGCCCCAGCCCAACCGGCGAACCAACCCCACACAACUCCUCCUUCCCUUCCUCCUCUGCCUUCUCCUAUUUCGUUCCCCUGUAAUAUUGAAAGACCAAAUUUGGUUUCCAGGAACUACUCCCAAAUUUAAUCAGUAAAAUAAAUACCCAUAGUCCAUUUAUUUGACCCAUUAAAGAAAGAAGAGGUCCUUGGAGCUCAAGAAGAACGGCUCAUCGAAAGUAAGGAAAACGAGUGCUAAUAGAGGUUGAGGUACCGAAGAGGACAACGGGAUGGAUUAGUGGUGAGGACGUAUCCGUUAAAGCAAGGUUACUAAGUUUAAUACGUGAGCUUCACUAGUUAAUUAUGUACUAAAACUCUAGUUUUAAAUUCCAAGGAUCAUUAUGGUUUGUAUUAUGACAAUUUAGUUAAUAUCACGAGUCUUUUAUUUCAUUAA
Long non-coding RNA from Spinacia oleracea (spinach), 1047 nucleotides. RefSeq lists it as uncharacterized. The transcript is spliced from 3 exons. The record is from RefSeq and is a predicted model, not a curated record. NCBI's taxonomy places the organism in Eukaryota, Viridiplantae, Streptophyta, Magnoliopsida, Caryophyllales, Amaranthaceae.